This 256-nucleotide unclassified non-coding RNA is filed under the name Neonectria sp. RNAcentral's name for it is "partial contains 5.8S ribosomal RNA, internal transcribed spacer 2, and large subunit ribosomal RNA". The stretch from base 1 to 52 matches the Rfam family "5.8S ribosomal RNA", at positions 103 to 154 of the family's 154-position model. RNAcentral also lists the same sequence under 4 other names. Lineage: Eukaryota; Fungi; Ascomycota; Sordariomycetes; Hypocreales; Nectriaceae. The record is from RNAcentral.
AACGCACAUUGCGCCCGCCAGUAUUCUGGCGGGCAUGCCUGUUCGAGCGUCAUUUCAACCCUCAAGCCCCCGGGCUUGGUGUUGGGGAUCGGCGUGCCCUCGCGGCGCGCCGUCCCCGAAAUCUAGUGGCGGUCUCGCUGUAGCUUCCUCUGCGUAGUAGCACACCUCGCACUGGAAAGCAGCGCGGCCACGCCGUUAAACCCCCCACUUCUGAAAGGUUGACCUCGGAUCAGGUAGGAAUACCCGCUGAACUUAA